Long non-coding RNA from Motacilla alba alba, 9999 nucleotides. RefSeq lists it as uncharacterized. Lineage: Eukaryota; Metazoa; Chordata; Aves; Passeriformes; Motacillidae. The transcript has 2 exons. The record is from RefSeq and is a predicted model, not a curated record.
CACAAAGACACUUCACCCACGAGCCCAGCUAGGAGACAUCCUCUAUGAAAAGUGGAGCAACAAAGAGAAGAAGAAGAAAAGCCAAAUCUUACCUGGCAGCAGGAAUCCCCAGAGAUGGUGCCUACCAGUUUUCAUAGGUGGUGAUACCUUGACUGGAACUCUCCCAAAACCACUUGGAGGAGGUAUUUUCCAUUAUGGAGAGAUUGCUUAGACUCCAGAGGAGUGUCACCCUUCCUUUAUGAACUAAUUACAGCAGUUCCUCAGAAAUGACCGUACUUAUGUCCUCGACAAUGCUUUUCAAGAUGCUCAGAGUGAAUGAACACCAGAUCCUCCCUAAAAUUCAGUACGUUAACCUGACAGAAAGCCUCGUCCAAGUAGGAAUUUCUUAUUUUCCAGGCCUUGCAGGCCAUGGAUGUCCCAUGGAAAGGCAAUGCAGUACAUCACCUAGCACAACUCACCAGCAGGGACUGAGACAUGAGAAACGAAUCCCUACCAAUUAAAUUAUAACAUUGGGCAUGACAUCUCUUGAUUAUCACUUUUCAGUGCCUCCCUCAGCACAAUGACACAAAACCCACUGGAAGCUUGCUGGACAAUCAACCAGACAAGCAAGGUUUUGCUUUCCUAGAGUCCUAAAAGAAAUUGCCUCCUUCUGUAAACUUAUUCUGUAAUUGGAACAACAUCUCUAAAGCAGCUACAGGACAAAGAACCAGACUGAAGCUUGUUCCUUGAGGUCUGUUUUCUUUGCAUUCUUACUUUGUAUGAGUAGCAGGAAAUUAGAAGCCAGGCCACCUUCAUUUCUAAAGCACAGGUUAAAUUAAUAAUACUUACAAAGCUUUGUCUAGCCAGAGGGAAUGGCUGUGACAAGAAUAAUCUUCAUACACAGUUACACUGAUAACACAGCAGGUUUGUGGGCCAGCCUUUGGAAGCAUGAAAUGUCUUCCUUACUAAAAGACAUUUAAAAAAAAAAAGUAUUCAAAAAAAAAUGCACUUUCAUCUGCUAGAAGGAAAAUACUGUUCAAAACCACAAACCAAAACAUAUAAAUAUCACCUUAAAUCUGAAUUCAAGUGAUUCCUACAGUCCAACAGAGAAUACAUUUGCAACCCUUAAUAUUGUGCUGCAAAGCAAAGUUACUUAUAAACGCUUGGUGGAAUGAGUCUUCAACUACUCUCAUUGAAACUUAGCCAAAUGCUCCUUUAAUAUUUUAUUUUUGCUGACGUGUAAACGCUCCAACCCUGCAGAACAAAUACUGUAAAUGUGCAGCUUGCAGUCAAUGAGAGGUAGGAAGGGAAGACAUUUGCAGUUUACUAAUAAGGCAUCCUAGUUUCACUGCCUAUAAAAUUUUAAUUGCUUUAGUUAUGCUACUCUACUGCUAUGGAUUAUUAAUUUCUGGACAUUAAUUUUCCUCUUCUUUUUGUUGCCAGUCCUAGGAACAGGCUUGGUAAGAACGUAAAUGAGUAGGAACCCACUGCCAGAACAAACCUUGGGUACCCAUUCCGCACCAAGAACCAGAGAGAAAUUACACAUUUUGGCUUUUAGAAGCUCUUGGAGAUUGCUGGGGGAAAUUUUCAGCCUUGGGGACUUUUUUGCCCAACUAAGGGCUACCAGAUCUAUCCUCAGAGAAUAGUUUUCUUACCAAAGGACAGCAAAGAAAUAGAAAAACGUUCCAAUUAUAUUUUGGACCUGUCUAACUUCUUGUUAUUAGGAUAUGCAAAGGUCCUACUGAAUAGUCUCUUUACUCUGACGUGCUCAUCAAACCAUUCCUGAUAUUUACAUUUUCAGCCCCUUGCAUGAGACAUAAGGAAGAAAAAUUUUCAAAAAUAGGAGUGGCAGUAAAGGCCUUUCUUUACUGCACCCUGACCACAAAGCAGUAUCACCUCCUCUGUGAAUGCUCUCUGUGCUGGGUACCUGAGGCAAUGUUUAGGAGGGUGGGCAAUGGCUGCACAUUACCUUGCGAGCACUUGCAGAAGGUGACUGAUCAGGUAAAAUGGCUCAGAGGUUUUCCUUCCUGAAUGGUUAGUAAAAAAACUAAGCAGAAAAUCAAGCAAAAAAAAAAAAAAACCCAAACCAACUGCCCCUGCCCUCAAAUGGCAGUCAGCCAGUUUUAAUGAACCAUUUGAACAGAAUUACUAUGUAUUUUUAUACAGCACCACACUUUGCAAAGAUGCCAGAGGGCCCUGUGAGACCUGUUUGUGAGGGAGUACAGCAAACAGGACAAAUGAGAAAUCCAGUGAUGUGACAUUCUUCAGGGCAGGAAGCAUUUGCACCCACUGGAGCUUUGGAGAGAAUUUCUGUGUAUAAAGAUGUAAUAAGUGAAAAUGCAACUUGUCCAGCUACCAGAGAUGAAUACCAUUAAUCUUAAAAAUAGUCCCAUAGCACUUUCCUUAAUGAAGAUAAGCUCUUUGAAGUAGGUUUAAACCCAAAGAUUUUGCCUAGAAAUGUAGAGAGAGAAGGUGCCAAGAAUUGAGCAGAAGAGCUGAUUACACUGAAGGUGUUGAAUUUGUAGAAUAUGAUGCCUUUGGCAAGAACAGUGAUAAAAAAAUCACCAUGUGCAAGGGAUUGAGAAGGGAAGUAAUUUAUCAGCAGCAGCAACAAAAGGCACAUUAAAUGAAGCCAUUGUGCAGAUCAAACAGGCACCUUUUGCUGUGUAUUUCCUGGCUGAAGACAAGCAGGUGCUGCAGCAACCUUUCAUCUGUGGCAGACUUCCAAACCAUUCUGCCUGUGUCUAUCCCAGGCUGUGCAGUGAUCAUAGCUGGCAAUCCACAUUGGGUGUGACACAAACCAUCAGAACUUUCAGCUUGACUUGAAACUCACACAUUUCCUCUUGAAUUAAUGCAAGGUUCCUAUCACCUCUGGGCAGUGAAGCUGUUCAACAAAACAGUUCAUUUUGACAACUUCCACUGCAGCACGCCAGGUCUCUGGGAAUUCAGUGUGGAGUGGAUAAAAAUUCCCCUUUGGAUGGUGUGAGAUGGCAACCCCAGAAGCCAGGGCAGCACCUGCAAGUUACCCUCCUGUCAAAGUUGUUUGCUCUUCCACCCCUGCAUUAACCCCUGAGGAGGGGCAAAGCUCCUCCAUCUGGGGAGCCCGUGGUGGCAUCAGGCUGAUUCCCACAGGAUUUUGGUGAGAUAAUUGAAGACACAUUGAAAGAAAGCAUUGCCAAACAAAGCCCCAACAGUUCUCUGCGAACUGUGUUUGCAGUGAAACACUUCGAGUGCUUUUAGGCAACCGGAUUUGCCCAAGCCAUUGAGGUAAUUUGAACACCUGGAAAAUGCAACAUUUAAUUGAGCUGUGAGGGGCUGUGCGUCAUGGCCUUCUUUAUGCUUUAGAGAACCCCAGCAGAGGCAGGCUCAUGUGUGGUCUCAUUAGCAGAUUCACUCUUCUGCCCUGUGUUUCACUGCUCAGCUCUUCCCAUGGGAACCUCUCGCUGUUUGAAGAGCUCCAGAGAGGGUUUGGUGAUUUGCAGACAAGUGCAUUCCUUACCUUGGUAGCCCCUGCUCUUUGUGGUGAGAAGGAGCGAGGCGAAAGCUUUUCUUUGCUACUCCAGUUGCAUUCCCCUCUGUGAAUUUUAGCAUCCAUUCAUUACAUGCCAUUGAGAUAUUAAGUGUUUGGGACAGACCAGCUGCUGGCUUAGAAGCAGUUCCCUUGGAAUAGGUGUAGAUAUAUUUUACUUUUCUCCUGAAAGUAAAAUGAUUCUGUAAAGUAAAAAUUCAUUCUCCAGUGAUUCUGACUUGUAUCUUCCUAAUCACUGCCUGCUACAAAUUUCCUUCCAUUUUUUUUCCAUUCAAAAUUUUAGCCAGAGGACAAAUAAACUGGGGGGCAUUUGAAAGCUGACAGCCAGAUAUGUGGCAGAUACUCUUGAGGAUUUUGAAAUCUGUUGAUUUUUCACUAUAGGAAAAGAGGCUUUGAACACAUGGUUGAUCUAGAUAAUCUUUAUGCAACCACUUCAAAUCAAUUAGCUGAAGAGCUUCCAGGUCUUUGAUGAAAGUAGAUAAUAAAACUCUAAAAAUGGGUAAAAUUUUUGACAGCUGUGAGAUACUUUUUUUUGAAAUUAUAAACAGUGAGCAAAGACAGUAGCUAGGUGUCAAUUCUAGCCCGCAUAAAAGACUAGUAAAAUUUGACACUGAAAAAUGACAGCAUACUUAUCAAUGUAAUGGCAAGAAAAUUCAUUUCACUCACUGAUGUCCCACUUCAACAGAUCACUGCCAUGAUUAAUAUGGGAAGCUAUUAAGGUAACACAUUUCAUUUUCUCUGGAAGCAUUCAUCAGUCACUGUGCGUUGCUGACUGCUGCCAUGUAAAACUGACCACAUCCAAUCCAAACUGAUGGGAUUGAGCAGCACACUGAUGACGGACGCUGAAAUACUGGCUAUCAUUAAAGAAGAAUGGUUACAAUGAGGCUUUCCACAGAUUGGCUGAGUCACAAAGGAUUUAACACGGGAUUUAUUAGUAAUCUGAAGCAAAGUGCAGAAUUCUGCAGGUAAAAGUCUCAGGAAAUCAGAUACCAAUAAAGAUGAGCUUGGGUCACUAGCACACACCAAGCAGCUAAAAUGCUAAUUCAAUAUGUACAAGCUUUCACUGGAUUUGAAUCAGAGUCUAAAGAGGCUACUAGUCAUUUGUAGUCUGACACAAACUGAAAGCUGGGCACUGAAAGCAAUUUUGUUCAAUAAAGGAAAAAGAAACACAGCCCACAGGAUACCACAGAAUUAUAUUUAUGUUGUACAUUUGUCUUCACAUUGCAACAUCCACAUUGUUCAUUUUGUGACAAGUAUUUCUAAUAAUUUUGAAUACAUAUUUACUGUAUAAUACAUUUUACCAAGAGGCACUUCCAGUAAUUCUGGCAAAAAGGAGCUUCAUUAUAGUGUCUAACUUACAAAACAGUAAAAAUAAAUAAUGUUUAUCUAAAAGAUUUUUUUUUUCCUGUACAGAAUCUAUUUUGUACAAAACAUUUAUCAGCCAUUAACUAAAUCACUUAACAAAUACUUGUGAAGAGAAUAUAUUAAGUAUUGCUACAUGUAUUGAGUGCAAGAUACUAGUGAAAGGAAAAGAAUUAUUCUGUUUAUGAAAAUCACCUAAAAAUACAAGGCCUUGUUCCUGAAGUGUUUAGAAAGGAGAAGCUUGGUUACAACAAUAUUGACAAUAUAUAAAUAUAAAUUAAUGUAUGUAGUACUUAGUGAAAAGAACACUGUGUUAAAAACUGGCGUGUACAAAUCCUAAACAAGAUGGCACUUCUCUGCAUUGCCACUUUGGCUGGCAGUUAUUUUUUAAAAUAUUGCUUCAAAAGAAUUAUAAAGGUACACAAAACCCUUUGUCAAAUAGAGCCGUAUAAAAUUACACCCCCCCCCCCCCCCAUCUUUUUCUCACCUUUGGAAGUGAAAAAAAAAAUCAAGGAGGGAUUAAAUUUGUAAUACACGAGUGAUUUGUGGAAACCUGCUACUAUAGCUGAGUCUGAGUAAGCAUCAUUAAAAUAAUUCUGCCCCAAGGUCCCAGACCAGGAGCCAACCCUCACAGGACAGGAUGUAAGAUCACCAAAUUUCUCAGUUUUUCCUGAAGUAAACAAACCAAAUUGUCUGGCCUGUUGUCAAUUUUCAAAUUAAAAAAAUUUAUAUAAUUUGGCCCUCAAAUCGGGUGGGGGUCAAGUGCUUCAAUUAUACUGGCACACCCGAAAUUUUAAUUUAGAAAGGGUUGUAAUCUUGCUAGGUUAAUUUCUUGAUUACUUUAUCAAAAAGGGAUUUGUAAUUUUUUCAAUCACAUCUUCGACAUAAUAUACAUACUUGCUCAUCAUUACCCAGACAGGCCAAACUGCAUUGGAAAAGAAUCAUUUUUGGAAGGUAUUUCUUCCACCACUGGAGGCAAAGGUGAAAAAAAUGUGGUUUUGUUGGAAAAUAUCCUAGAUGUUCUUCUAUCAAAAGCACUAAAAAGGAAAAAAAAAACUGCCACCCAUCAGUGAAAAUGUUAAUCUGUUAAACAAACGUAACCCACAGUAUGAAUCACUGCUUUUUGAAAAGUGAACUUAAAUUACUUUCCAUCAUGCAAACAUCUGAUAUUGAUUAUUCAAGAGAAGAAGACUUAACUUUAGAAAAGUAAUGAUCAAAAGUACGCUGACAUGGUUGAGAUAUUAAAGAUUUCAUCAACAUCACAGAGCAGUUAUGAACGUUGCCUUUGAUCUUUUGGGACACCAUCUGCAGUACUGUACCAAGGUUUACAAACACCUACAAAUCCACAUUUUGCAUUCAAAUACAGGGUUUUGUUGUGUUUCAGGAUCAGGCAGGAAUUUUGGGAAGGAAAGUCAGCUUCACCAGACUUCAGCAGCCUUUCUACCUAGAGCAGUAUGUACACACAUGGCAAACCCCUCCCUGUUUUCUCUCUGACCAGAUCACAGAGCUUCUUAAUUUUUAAUUUUUUAGGAAAGCAUUAGGUGAAAAUGACUAGGGUCAGAGGAGGAAAAUGAAAAGCACCACCAAAACCUCCCAAGUCCUUUAAAUACAACCUUAAAAGCAAAGAGCAGUUGCUAAUUCACAUCGAUUGUUUCUAAGCUUUGCUGCAGUACAGGAAGACAGUGUUGAAAACUGAGCUAUUAUUUGAUCUGAUUUCCAUGGUUUUGCCUCAGGACAAGAGAAUUCAGCCAUAAAAGGACACACAGCCUGCAGCUGUGGCAAAGUCCUGUGUAUCUGCCCUUAUGCUUCCACACAGAGAGCAGGAAUAUUUGGUUUCCCCAACUAAUUCACUGCUCUCUCCACACCUGCAGGUUUCAGGGGUGCUCCCCAGAGCACACAGACUCCCCCUGGCAUCCGGGGCAGAACAAUUCUCCUCUGCUGCCCCAUUCCCCCAUCUCAGACAUACUGCACACACAGCUUUGGAAGCAAGAAACCACUGGCACAGACUGGCAACCUGAAAAGCUCAAAUGAAUUUUUUUUUUCCCCCUCCACUUCCACCAAGUAAAGUUUUCCUUGAUGAAAGAGAAUUAAAUAACUUCAGUCAAAAGUUCUUCUUGAUUUACUACACCCUUCAGCUUGACAGACCACACCCAAGGCCAGCUGGUUUUCCCUGGACUCAGCAGCAGUUUUACAGGAGCAAGCACUGGGGGGAAUGUCUGCAUACACCUCAGUGACACUGGCAGGGUUUCAGACUGCACAACGCUUGCCGUUUCAUUUUUAUCAAAGAACUGUUGUUAACUGGCUCGAGCUCUUGCCGCCUUUUGUCACUGUGAAAUGAACUCUGCAGAAAUGCACCAGCACCGUUCUGCCCCCAGGCUCCUGAGGAGCUUGUCCUAAGGGCUCACUCAGGUGACAUCCGCAUCCUGCUGAGGUGGCGAGAUGCAUUUUUCAUCAAAAGAACACCUGCCUGCCAGGAAAAUCCCACUAAUGGCCUCUGAAUAAAUCAUAGCUGGGCUGUAAAUGGAGAAUAAUUCUCACACUGCUCCCUCCAACACUGGGACUCAAUAUCUACCACAGCAGGGGCUAAACCCUGCUUUGAUUUACCUGCAGAGGAAUGUUGUUUUGCUAAAAGAAAGUGAUGAAAUUCAAAGAAAGAUCUAUCAUACUAAAUUGCUCUCAAAAGAACUGGUGCUACUUUGCUCUAAAUCAAAGUUUGACUCCAAUAAUCAAUAAUUUUGCCAGCUCUUCCAAUGUUUCUUAAGACAGCUCUCACCUAAUUUCCAUGAUUCUUUCAUCUGUUCAAAAUCACUUAACGCGUAUGGUUCUCCAAGAUCCCUGGAUGUUCUUACUUGUUGAUUCACUGAAAAACAGGAAAAAAAGAAGACUCUCCUGCUCUAAUUAAUGGGAAUAAUUAUCUUCUCUUUAACACUGCCAUCAUUUUGACUAAUACUGCAACAUCAAACAGCAAUUAACCUCCCAGAAACUCCAUGUUACUCCAUUUCAGAAGGAUUAUGUUUGCUUUUGAAAGAAAAGGAAAAUAAAUUUUGUUUUAUAAAGUCUGGUUGAGAAUGGACUGUGAUUUCCUCUCCUCCUUCCCACAGAAUGCAGGUUUCACUUCCCUCCUGCCUGUGUACAACCCUGUCCACUCGAGGCCUGGAACUCCCAACAUCCAGGGCUGAGGCUGGGCAGAGCAGGCAGAGAGGGGAAUCCUUCACUCUAGGAACCUGCUUCUGUCUAAUCUUCUGCCCACGAGGCCAUGGGAUGCUCAGCAACUUCUCCUCCUUAAAGGAAACCUUCCUUCCUUCCACGUGAUGUUGGAACAUCUCAGUGGUGGCAGGACUCACAGGGACUUUGCACAAGAACUUCAUUAACAAACAGCACCAGCCACGAAGCUUUUGCUGCAUUAGACUUGUGGCUCAGCUUUCAAAAAUGCUUAGGGUUCCUUUUGAAAACUGACAAAAUUCUCUAGGAUUCCAAGUCCAGCCAGGCUCAGGUUGCUGACAGCUCCCCCACACCUACUCAGCUCACAGAUCAGCAGUGCUGGAUGCCCACACAGACUCCUCAUAGGCUCUGAUGCUUAAAUUGGCAAGAUCCUUGCCUUCUUCACUCUGCAUUCUACUUCCCUGGGCAUUUCUGAACAAAGAUGGGGCCAGAAUUUCAGAAAAAAAAAUCUAGCAAAACAAAGCAGACAGAAAUCUACAAUUUAAAGAAAACAAAUGAACUUUAUGCCAAGUGGAAUGCAUAGAAUGGGACUUGGGAGGGAAAUUUGCUUAGAUGCCAAAUAGUACCUUUAAAAGCAUAUAUUUGAACCUCUGUAGCUUUAGCUUUUUUCCAGAUUCAGACCACCAGGAUAUUAAGAAAUUCUAACAGUGGUGCACUAAUGGUAAAGCCCUAAAUCCAUCUUUAGGCUGAUGAUGGUGCAGAGAGAAGUCCACACAUGAUGUCAGAAGAAAAACUGAUGAAAACUAUCCUUGCAUUAUUAACAAAAGCAUUCUCAAAUCACAUCUUCCCUGGGAACCAUUUCCUGCCAUAAUAUGGCCACGUUUGCCAUGAGAACCAGGCCCUCACAGGGGAGGCCUUUGGUGACACACAGCUCUGCGUAAAAGAUUUUAUUCACAGAAGGCAGCCAUCCAAAAUCCUGUCAAAAGCACAGCAAACUCCCUCUUUCCUGGAUUGCUGCAACUCACUUCUGAUGCACAGCUUGCAACAUCUCAUCAAACACCAUCGUUCCUACUGGAGGGAGUAGAUGAUUUUCAGAGACAAGUGUCAAAAUGUCCUGCACAUUAGCUAAAAACAAACCAAGAUUUUAGAAUUAGAGCAUAAAUAUAGAGCAUAGUAAACUAUGGAUGGUGGAAACUAUUGUUUUUAGACACAGCAUUUCUGGUUUCUUAAAAGCUAAUGUCUUACACUCCUCCUAAAAAGUAAUUAAAUUGUUUGGGGCUUUCACACUCCCAUGUGUUCCCUCUGCAAGUGUAAGGAGAGAAGUUAUAUUCCAUGGUAAACACCACGUGGCCAUCAGCAGAAGUGCCAGUAUAGGGAUAAAAGUGUUUACAUGUGAUUGCUACAUGACACACAGAGUCCUUUUGUCACUGCACUGGGAGCUGCAAGCACUGCAAAAGUAUUUCAAGCAAACUCCUAGACUAGAAGGGAACAGGAUCAGACCCUAAGUGCCAAUAAAGUGGGGAAAACAAAAUAUCCAAAUGGGAGAAAUCAUCUAGUCUUUAUCUUCUUGUUUUUAAAGAACAGAAAACUAAAGUACUUUGGGUUUGCCAUUGCAAAACACCAUUUAAAUGGGGGUUGCUUUCUUUAGUGUCUACCACACUGCUUUACAUAUGGUAAGUACUCGUAUCAACAUUGUAAACAUCCCACCUAAAACAAGAGCAUUUUGCUGAUUGAAUACCAUUACUUUUCUUUUAUUUAGUUUUUCUUCCUAAAAUAUUUCUUAGGCUGUGGAUUAUUUGUUUCUAGCAACACCAAAGGACUCCAUACAAAGUGGAAAAUCUUCUGCCUCCAAAAGGCUGCUCUAACUGCAGGUGAAAAGUUUUUGCCUCCUUUGGAUUAGAAAAUACUAAAAAGCCCCCUAAAUUACCUGCUUCAUUAUCUAUGAGCCCCAAAGCACAAAAAAAAAA